This 71-nucleotide transfer RNA is filed under the name Priestia megaterium. Its description in RNAcentral is "Bacillus megaterium tRNA-Cys". It matches the Rfam family "tRNA". From Rfam's summary of the family: Transfer RNA (tRNA) molecules are approximately 80 nucleotides in length. The record is from RNAcentral. Lineage: Bacteria; Bacillati; Bacillota; Bacilli; Caryophanales; Bacillaceae. RNAcentral also lists the same sequence under 5 other names.
GGCGGCAUAGCCAAGUGGUAAGGCCAAGGUCUGCAAAACCUUUAUCACCGGUUCAAAUCCGGUUGCCGCCU